UAGGGAAUCUUCGGCAAUGGACGAAAGUCUGACCGAGCAACGCCGCGUGAGUGAAGAAGGUUUUCGGAUCGUAAAACUCUGUUGUUAGAGAAGAACAAGUGAUAGAGUAACUGUUAUCACCUUGACGGUAUCUAACCAGAAAGCCACGGCUAACUACGUGCCAGCAGCCGCGGUAAUACGUAGGUGGCAAGCGUUGUCCGGAUUUAUUGGGCGUAAAGCGAGCGCAGGCGGUCUUUUAAGUCUGAUGUGAAAGCCCUCGGCUCAACCGAGGAAGGUCAUUGGAAACUGGGAGACUUGAGUGCAGAAGAGGAGAGUGGAAUUCCAUGUGUAGCGGUGAAAUGCGUAGAUAUAUGGAGGAACACCAGUGGCGAAGGCGACUCUCUGGUCUGUAACUGACGCUGAGGCUCGAAAGCGUGGGGAGCAAACAGG
This 429-nucleotide ribosomal RNA is filed under the name uncultured Enterococcaceae bacterium. Its description in RNAcentral is "bacterial SSU rRNA". It matches the Rfam family "Bacterial small subunit ribosomal RNA", at positions 355 to 776 of the family's 1533-position model. Lineage: Bacteria; Bacillati; Bacillota; Bacilli; Lactobacillales; Enterococcaceae. The record is from RNAcentral.